CCUACGGGCGGCAGCAGUGAGGAAUAUUGGUCAAUGGCCGGAAGGCUGAACCAGCCAUGCCGCGUGAAGGUCAGUGCCCUAUGGGCGUUAAACUUCUUUUGUGCGGGAGCAAUAAUGGUCACGUGUGGCCAGACGAGAGUACCGUACGAAUAAGCAUCGGCUAACUCCGUGCCAGCAGCCGCGGUAAUACGGGGGAUGCAAGCGUUAUCCGGAUUUAUUGGGGUUAAAGGGUGCGUAGGCUGUGAGGUAAGUCAGCGGUGAAAUGCCUCCGCUCAACGGGGUGAAGUGCCAUUGAUACUGCCUUGCUGGAGUGCGGAUGCCGUGGGAGGAAUGUGUGGUGUAGCGGUGAAAUGCAUAGAUAUCACGCAGAACACCGAUUGCGAAGGCAUCUCACGAAUCCGCGAUUGACGCUGAUGCACGAAAGCGUGGGUAUCAAACAGGAUUAGAUACCCGUGUAGUC
RNAcentral lists this ribosomal RNA (460 nucleotides) under uncultured bacterium. RNAcentral's name for it is "partial 16S ribosomal RNA". It matches the Rfam family "Bacterial small subunit ribosomal RNA", at positions 338 to 795 of the family's 1533-position model. The record is from RNAcentral.